RNAcentral lists this ribosomal RNA (497 nucleotides) under uncultured bacterium. Its description in RNAcentral is "partial 16S ribosomal RNA". It matches the Rfam family "Bacterial small subunit ribosomal RNA", at positions 28 to 507 of the family's 1533-position model. The record is from RNAcentral.
GAUGAACGCUGGCGGCGUGCCUAAUACAUGCAAGUCGAGCGAACAGACGAGGAGCUUGCUCCUCUGACGUUAGCGGCGGACGGGUGAGUAACACGUGGAUAACCUACCUAUAAGACUGGGAUAACUUCGGGAAACCGGAGCUAAUACCGGAUAAUAUAUUGAACCGCAUGGUUCAAUAGUGAAAGACGGUUUUGCUGUCACUUAUAGAUGGAUCCGCGCCGCAUUAGCUAGUUGGUAAGGUAACGGCUUACCAAGGCGACGAUGCGUAGCCGACCUGAGAGAGUGAUCGGCCACACUGGAACUGAGACACGGACCAGACUCCUACGGGAGGCAGCAGUAGGGAAUCUUCCGCAAUGGGCGGAAGCCUGACGGAGCAGCGCCGCGUGAGUGAUGAAGGUCUUCGGAUCGUAAAACUCUGUUAUUAGGGAAAAACAAAUGUGUAAGUAACUAUGCACGUCUUGACGGUACCUAAUCAGAAAGCCACGGCUAACUACGUG